Molecule: unclassified non-coding RNA, 316 nt
Organism: Dipodomys ordii (Ord's kangaroo rat)
Lineage: Eukaryota; Metazoa; Chordata; Mammalia; Rodentia; Heteromyidae
Gene: 7SK
Rfam family: 7SK RNA
About the family: 7SK was discovered as an abundant small nuclear RNA in the mid-70s but a possible function has only recently been suggested. Two independent studies have found that 7SK RNA binds the CDK9/cyclin T complex (known as elongation factor P-TEFb).
Source: Ensembl
GGAUGCGAGGGCGAUCUGACUGCGACAUCUGUCACCCAUUGAUCGCCAGGGUUGAUUCGGCUGAUCUGGCUGGCUAGGCGGGUGUCCCUUCCUCCCUCACGGCUCCGUGUGCGUCCCUCCCGAAGCUGCCCCUCGGUGGAAGAGGACACCACCCCCGGAGAGGAGGACCGGUCUUCGGUCAAGGGUAUACAUACGAGUAGCUGCGCUCCCCUGCGAGAACCUCCAAACAAGCGCUCAAGAAAUGUGUAGCAAUCCACUGAGGCAAAAUGUCUUAGAAUCCAGCAAAUCAGAAUGCUGGGGACCCAAAAAUGUCUUC